Molecule: ribosomal RNA, 914 nt
Filed under: uncultured archaeon
Lineage: Archaea
Description: bacterial SSU rRNA
Rfam family: Archaeal small subunit ribosomal RNA
Source: RNAcentral
UUCCGGUUGAUCCCGCCGGACCUGACUGCUAUCGGAUUAAUACUAAGCCAUGCGAGUCUUUGUAGUAAUACAAGGCAUACGGCUCAGUAACACGUAGUCAACCUACCCUAUGGACGAGGAUAAUCUCGGGAAACUGAGCAUAAUACUCGAUAGAUCAUAAUGCCUGGAAUGGUUUAUGGUUGAAAUGACUCAUCGCCAUAGGAUGGGACUGCGGCCUAUCAGCUUGUUGGUGAGGUAAUGGCCCACCAAGGCGAUUACAGGUACGGGCUCUGAGAGGAGAAGCCCGGAGAUGGGUACUAAGACACGGACCCAGGCCCUAUGGGGCGCAGCAGGCGAGAAAACUUUGCAAUGUGCGAAAGCACGACAAGGUUAGUCCGAGUGAUUUCUGCUAAAGAAAUCUUUUGCAAGUUGUAAAACCACUAGUGAAUAAGGGGUGGGCAAGUUCUGGUGUCAGCCGCCGCGGUAAAACCAGCACCUCGAGUGGUCAGGAGGAUUAUUGGGCCUAAAGCAUCCGUAGCCGGCUUUGUUAGUUUUCGGUUAAAUCCAUGUGCUCAACGCAUGGGCUGCCGAAAAUACUGCACAGCUAGGGAGUGGGAGAGGUAGACGGUACUCGGUAGGAAGGGGUAAAAUCCUUUGAUCUAUCGAUGACCACCUGUGGCGAAGGCGGUCUACCAGAACACGUUCGACGGUGAGGGAUGAAAGCUGGGGGAGCAAACCGGAUUAGAUACCCGGGUAGUCCCAGCUGUAAACGAUGCAGACUCGAUGAUGCAUUGGCAUAUAGCUAGUGCAGUGUCGCAGGGAAGCCGUUAAGUCUGCCGCCUGGGAAGUACGUACGCAAGUAUGAAACUUAAAGGAAUUGGCGGGGGAGCACCACAAGGGGUGAAGCCUGCGGUUCAAUUGGAUUCAACGCCGGG